GUUACAUUGCAGUGUACUUGUAGUUUUUCGGCAGUGAUCCUCUCGCAGUUCGUGACAGAUUCUUCCGUAAGCGCCUGGCAAGCGUCUGCAUGUCAACGAUCAAUUUUGUAUAGAGGAUAGCAACAUGGCUACUGGAACAGUUAAAUGGUUUAGCGACGAAAAAGGCUUCGGUUUUAUUACCCCGACCGAUGGCACCAAGGACGUAUUCGUUCAUCACAGCGCAAUUCAGGGCACCGGCUUCAAGUCGCUGGCUGAAGGCCAGAGCGUAUCGUUCGACGUUGAGCAGGGUCAGAAAGGCCCCAGCGCGACUAACGUCGUCGCCCAGUAAAAUGGGAUAGGGAUGCCUGGCAUCCCCGGAAAAGCCCCGCCAUCAGGCGGGGCUUUUUUU
RNAcentral lists this non-coding RNA (388 nucleotides) under Sedimenticola thiotaurini. RNAcentral's name for it is "cspA thermoregulator". It matches the Rfam family "cspA thermoregulator", at positions 138 to 428 of the family's 428-position model. Lineage: Bacteria; Pseudomonadati; Pseudomonadota; Gammaproteobacteria; Chromatiales; Sedimenticolaceae. The record is from Rfam by way of RNAcentral.